RNAcentral lists this ribosomal RNA (510 nucleotides) under uncultured bacterium. Its description in RNAcentral is "partial 16S ribosomal RNA". It matches the Rfam family "Bacterial small subunit ribosomal RNA", at positions 28 to 507 of the family's 1533-position model. The record is from RNAcentral.
GACGAACGCUGGCGGCGUGCUUAACACAUGCAAGUCGAACGAAGAGCGAUGGAAGCUUGCUUCUCUCAAUCUUAGUGGCGAACGGGUGAGUAACGCGUAAUCAACCUGCCCUUCAGAGGGGGACAACAGUUGGAAACGACUGCUAAUACCGCAUACGAUCUAAUCUCGGCAUCGAGGAUAGAUGAAAGGUGGCCUCUACAUGUAAGCUAUCACUGAAGGAGGGGAUUGCGUCUGAUUAGCUAGUUGGAGGGGUAACGGCCCACCAAGGCGAUGAUCAGUAGCCGGUCUGAGAGGAUGAACGGCCACAUUGGGACUGAGACACGGCCCAGACUCCUACGGGAGGCAGCAGUGGGGAAUCUUCCGCAAUAGACGAAAGUCUGACGGAGCAACGCCGCGUGAGUGAUGACGGCCUUCGGGUUGUAAAGCUCUGUUAAUCGGGACGAAAGGCCUUCUUGCGAAUAGUGAGAAGGAUUGACGGUACCGGAAUAGAAAGCCACGGCUAACUACGUG